GGAGUGGAGCUAGUCGGAUAUCAUCAUUGUAUCAACAUAGUGCUGGAGUAGAUUUGUAAGCAAUGGAAGUAUCAUGUAUGAUAUACGACUGGAGAGCUGGAGCAGAUGAUGAGAGAACUGUACUAUAUGGAUUUGGGAAUGCAAUACAAGUUAUAGAUCAAAUAGAUGUUCUAAGGCCACUAAUAAUGUGUAUGGAUAUAGAAGUAUACUCAUCUAAUGCAAG
RNAcentral lists this long non-coding RNA (223 nucleotides) under Physcomitrium patens. RNAcentral describes it as "long non-coding RNA (PPAT_LNC009368)". Lineage: Eukaryota; Viridiplantae; Streptophyta; Bryopsida; Funariales; Funariaceae. The record is from RNAcentral.